ACGGGGCCCGCACAAGCAGCGGAGCAUGUGGCUUAAUUCGAAGCAACGCGAAGAACCUUACCAGGUCUUGACAUCCCGAUGCUAUUUCUAGAGAUAGAAAGUUACUUCGGUACAUCGGUGACAGGUGGUGCAUGGUUGUCGUCAGCUCGUGUCGUGAGAUGUUGGGUUAAGUCCCGCAACGAGCGCAACCCUCGACCUUAGUUGCCAGCAUUCAGUUGGGCACUCUAAGAUGACUGCCGGCUAAAAGUCGGAGGAAGGUGGGGAUGACGUCAAAUCAUCAUGCCCCUUAUGACCUGGGCUACACACGUGCUACAAUGGGCGGUACAAAGGGUCGCGAACCCGCGAGGGGGAGCCAAUCCCAAAAAGCCGCUCUCAGUUCGGAUUGCAGGCUGCAACUCGCCUGCAUGAAGCCGGAAUCGCUAGUAAUCGCGGAUCAGCAUGCCGCGGUGAAUACGUUCCCGGGCCUU
RNAcentral lists this ribosomal RNA (467 nucleotides) under uncultured Anoxybacillus sp. Its description in RNAcentral is "bacterial SSU rRNA". It matches the Rfam family "Bacterial small subunit ribosomal RNA", at positions 916 to 1381 of the family's 1533-position model. The record is from RNAcentral. Lineage: Bacteria; Bacillati; Bacillota; Bacilli; Caryophanales; Anoxybacillaceae.